UACGGGGGGGGCAAGCGUUGUUCGGAAUUACUAGGCGUAAAGGGCUCGUAGGCGGCCAACUAAGUCGGACGUGAAAUCCCUCGGCUUAACCGAGGAACUGCGUCCGAUACUGGAUGGCUUGAGUUUGGGAGAGGGAUGCGGAAUUCCAGGUGUAGCGGUGAAAUGCGUAGAUAUCUGGAGGAACACCGGUGGCGUAGGCGGCAUCCUGGACAAACACUGACGCUGAGUGAGCGAAAGCCAGGGGAGCAAACGGG
RNAcentral lists this ribosomal RNA (254 nucleotides) under uncultured bacterium. RNAcentral describes it as "partial 16S ribosomal RNA". It matches the Rfam family "Bacterial small subunit ribosomal RNA", at positions 524 to 776 of the family's 1533-position model. The record is from RNAcentral.